GUAGGUGAACCUGCGGAAGGAUCAUUAACACGUAUCCACGUUAUAACCCGAGAACUUUCUUAGGUAGCCUAGUUGAGAAAAGGCUUAAUCAGAUCUCUUCGGGGAACUGUUUAAGCUCUGCCCCCUCGGGGGCUAUGGACUAGACUCCUCCGAUUCUAAACUAGUUAAUUGCCUUCGGGCAGCUAAUUAGUUUAAACUCUCAGGGACAAAUCUCCUCGGAGAUGCGACCCUGAGGGUUACUCGAAACCCCUUUUUCUAAACUAAAGGCCGUCUCUUUGUAGACCGCUUUUAACCGAAUGCUGUACAACCCUUAGCAACGGAUAUCUUGGUUCUG
RNAcentral lists this unclassified non-coding RNA (334 nucleotides) under rhizosphere metagenome. Its description in RNAcentral is "partial ribosomal RNA internal transcribed spacer region". The record is from RNAcentral.